This 1186-nucleotide long non-coding RNA is filed under the name Helianthus annuus (common sunflower). RNAcentral describes it as "hypothetical non coding rna". The record is from RNAcentral. Lineage: Eukaryota; Viridiplantae; Streptophyta; Magnoliopsida; Asterales; Asteraceae.
UCCUCUCCAAGAACAACAAAAAGUUACACCAGGUGAGGAAAUCUACCAUAAUAAAAUAUAUAAACUGAAGAAAAGCUUCUAGUUCUUCCACUUAAUCGGCUUGUUACACUAAAAGGUAAGUGUCUCUUCCAUUUACGAAUAUACUCAUGUACUUGUUACACUGUUAGUGUUUGUUUCUUAAAAACUCAUGAAAAAAAAGUUUGAUUUCUAUAGUGGCGUUUCUUUAUGUGUUUGUUUCUUUAAAAACCAUGAAAAAAAUGUUAGAUUUGGGUAGAAAAAAAAGUGUUUUUGUGAAAUUUUUAUUGCUUUUGUUUAGCAUUAAUUGAGGGUUUUGUUAUAACACGGAUUAAUAUCAAAAAAGGGUUUUCAAAUCUAGCUUAUAAGUGCAAAAGGGUCGUUUUGGUGAUUUGAAAAGGGGAUUUUAUCAUACUACUAAAAAUGGGGUUUCUAUGGAUUGUUUGGUUGAUUAUGAUUAUAGAUGGUGAUUUGGGUAUUAAUUAUUGCUGUUCGAUCUAUUGGUUUUAUACGGUUUUAUUCAGUUGAUUGGAAUUUUUUCCUUUAAUCAGUUAAGUUAGGGUUUUUACUUUCUUUCGAAUAAUCUCAAAAUAGUUAGUUUUGAAUAAUGUGAACAAGUUCUUGGAAACAGUAUCGGAUUCUCUUGCAUUAAAUAUCAAUGACAAGAAAUCUUUUGACCCUCUUUGUUCCUCUUUACGUUCUUUUGAAUAAUCUCACUUCUUAAUUGCUUGGAUACAACAGUUUUUUAGGUGAAUACAUGAUAAAAAAUUGUUCUAUUGGGAAGAAAAGAUUACAUUUAUGUUGACAAUUAAUUUAAAAUUGUUGUAUUGGGAAGAAAAGAUUACAUUUAUGUUGACAAUUAAGUUAGAACCCCUUUUUCACAAACAGAAGCGGGUUUCUAAAAAAAUAGAAAAUAAAAUAAAAAAGAAACUAAUUGGUAUGUAACAUUAAAUUGUUAGAUGGUUUGUUACAUUUAUGUUUGACAACUUAUUUUGUAACAGUGUUGGAAGGCAGUGAAUCGGACACACCAGCAAGGAUUUGAAAGAAAAGAAAAAAAAUAUUUUUGUAACUUAAGUAUUUUGUUUUUUAGGGAACAAGUGUGUUGUAUGCGUUGUUAGGUUAUAUAAUAAUGUUGCACCUUAACAUUUGUGGGAGAAAAAUUUUGUAACUU